GACGAACGCUGGCGGCGUGCUUAACACAUGCAAGUCGAACGGAAAGGCCCUGCUUUUGUGGGGUGCUCGAGUGGCGAACGGGUGAGUAACACGUGAGUAACCUGCCCUUGACUUUGGGAUAACUUCAGGAAACUGGGGCUAAUACCGGAUAGGAGCUCCUGCUGCAUGGUGGGGGUUGGAAAGUUUCGGCGGUUGGGGAUGGACUCGCGGCUUAUCAGCUUGUUGGUGGGGUAGUGGCUUACCAAGGCUUUGACGGGUAGCCGGCCUGAGAGGGUGACCGGCCACAUUGGGACUGAGAUACGGCCCAGACUCCUACGGGAGGCAGCAGUGGGGAAUAUUGCACAAUGGGCGGAAGCCUGAUGCAGCAACGCCGCGUGCGGGAUGACGGCCUUCGGGUUGUAAACCGCUUUCGCCUGUGACGAAGCGUGAGUGACGGUAAUGGGUAAAGAAGCACCGGCUAACUACGUGCCAGCAGCCGCGGUGAUACGUAGGGUGCGAGCGUUGUCCGGAUUUAUUGGGCGUAAAGGGCUCGUAGGUGGUUGAUCGCGUCGGAGGUGUAAUCUUGGGGCUUAACCCUGAGCGUGCUUUCGAUACGGGUUGACUUGAGGAAGGUAGGGGAGAAUGGAAUUCCUGGUGGAGCGGUGGAAUGCGCAGAUAUCAGGAGGAACACCAGUGGCGAAGGCGGUUCUCUGGGCCUUUCCUGACGCUGAGGAGCGAAAGCGUGGGGAGCGAACAGGCUUAGAUACCCUGGUAGUCCACGCUGUAAACGGUGGGUACUAGGUGUGGGGUCCAUUCCACGGGUUCCGUGCCGUAGCUAACGCUUUAAGUACCCCGCCUGGGGAGUACGGCCGCAAGGCUAAAACUCAAAGGAAUUGACGGGGCCCCGCACAAGCGGCGGAGCAUGCGGAUUAAUUCGAUGCAACGCGUAGAACCUUACCUGGGUUUGACAUGGAUCGGGAGUGCUCAGAGAUGGGUGUGCCUCUUUUGGGGUCGGUUCACAGGUGGUGCAUGGCUGUCGUCAGCUCGUGUCGUGAGAUGUUGGGUUAAGUCCCGCAACGAGCGCAACCCUUGUUCACUGUUGCCAGCACGUUAUGGUGGGGACUCAGUGGAGACCGCCGGGGUCAACUCGGAGGAAGGUGGGGAUGACGUCAAGUCAUCAUGCCCCUUAUGUCCAGGGCUUCACGCAUGCUACAAUGGCUGGUACAGAGAGUGGCGAGCCUGUGAGGGUGAGCGAAUCUCGGAAAGCCGGUCUCAGUUCGGAUUGGGGUCUGCAACUCGACCUCAUGAAGUCGGAGUCGCUAGUAAUCGCAGAUCAGCAACGCUGCGGUGAAUACGUUCCCGGG
Molecule: ribosomal RNA, 1343 nt
Filed under: uncultured bacterium
Lineage: Bacteria
Description: 16S ribosomal RNA
Rfam family: Bacterial small subunit ribosomal RNA
Source: RNAcentral